ACGAACGCUGGCGGCGUGCCUAAUACAUGCAAGUUGAGCGCUGAAGGUUGGUACUUGUACCAACUGGAUGAGCAGCGAACGGGUUAGUAACGCGUGGGGAAUCUGCCUUUGAGCGGGGGACAACAUUUGGAAACGAAUGCUAAUACCGCAUAAAAACUUUAAACACAAGUUUUAAGUUUGAAAGAUGCAAUUGCAUCACUCAAAGAUGAUCCCGCGUUGUAUUAGCUAGUUGGUGAGGUAAAGGCUCACCAAGGCGAUGAUACAUAGCCGACCUGAGAGGGUGAUCGGCCACAUUGGGACUGAGACACGGCCCAAACUCCUACGGGAGGCAGCAGUAGGGAAUCUUCGGCAAUGGACGAAAGUCUGACCGAGCAACGCCGCGUGAGUGAAGAAGGUUUUCGGAUCGUAAAACUCUGUUGGUAGAGAAGAACGUUGGUGAGAGUGGAAAGCUCAUCAAGUGACGGUAACUACCCAGAAAGGGACGGCUAACUACGUG
This 496-nucleotide ribosomal RNA is filed under the name uncultured bacterium. RNAcentral's name for it is "partial 16S ribosomal RNA". It matches the Rfam family "Bacterial small subunit ribosomal RNA", at positions 29 to 507 of the family's 1533-position model. The record is from RNAcentral.